CCUACGGGUGGCAGCAGUGAGGAAUAUUGGUCAAUGGACGGAAGUCUGAACCAGCCAUGCCGCGUGCAGGAUGACGGCCCUAUGAGUUGUAAACUGCUUUUGUACGGGAAUAAUAGUUCUUACGUGUGGGGUUUUGAAUGUACCAUACGAAUAAGGAUCGGCUAACUCCGUGCCAGCAGCCGCGGUAAUACGGAGGAUGCGAGCGUUAUCCGGAUUUAUUGGGUUUAAAGGGUGCGUAGGCGGGUGGUUAAGUCAGAGGUGAAAGUUUGGGGCUUAACCCUGUGACUGCAGUUGAUACUGGCCGACUAGAGAGCGGAAGCAGCAGGCGGAAUGAGUGGUGUAGCGGUGAAAUGCUUAGAUAUCACGCAGAACACCGAUUGCGAAGGCAGCUGGCUAAUCUGCAACUGACGCUGAGGCACGAAAGCGUGGGUAGCGAACAGGAUUAGAUACCCUGGUAGUC
Molecule: ribosomal RNA, 460 nt
Filed under: uncultured bacterium
Lineage: Bacteria
Description: partial 16S ribosomal RNA
Rfam family: Bacterial small subunit ribosomal RNA
Source: RNAcentral